AACAUAGGGGGACCAUCCUCUAAGGCUAAAUACUAAUUACCGACCGAUAGUGAACCAGUACCGUGAGGGAAAGGCGAAAAGAACCCCGGCGAGGGGAGUGAAAUAGAACCUGAAACCGUGUGCGUACAAGCAGUAGGAGCCCGUUUACGGGUGACUGCGUACCUUUUGUAUAAUGGGUCAGUGAGUUACUUUUAGUGGCAAGCUUAACUUUCUUAGGGAGGCGUAGGGAAACCGAGUCUUAAUAGGGCGUUUAGUCGCUAGGAGUAGACCCGAAACCAGGCGAUCUAUCCAUGACCAGGGUGAAGGUGGGGUAAUACCUACUGGAGGCCCGAACCGUAUAAUGUUGCAAAAUUAUCGGAUGAGUUGUGGAUAGGAGUGAAAGGCUAAUCAAGCCUGGAGAUAGCUGGUUCUCCCCGAAAACUAUUUAGGUAGUGCCUCAUGUAUUACUCUCGGGGGUAGAGCACUGUUUCGGCUAGGGAGACAUCCCGUCUUACCAACCCGAUGCAAACUCCGAAUACCGAGAAGUACAAUCAUGGGAGACACACAGCGGGUGCUAACGUCCGUUGUGGAAAGGGAAACAACCCAGAUCGCCAACUAAGGUCCCAAAAUUACAGCUAAGUGGGAAACGAAGUGAGAAGUCAAAGACAGCCAGGAGGUUGGCUUAGAAGCAGCCAUCCUUUAAAGAAAGCGUAAUAGCUCACUGGUCAAGUCGACUUGCGCGGAAGAUUUAACGGGGCUUAAGCUGUAUACCGAAGUUGCGAAUGCUUAUUUUUAAUAAGCGUGGUAGGGGAGCGUUCUGUAAGUCAUUGAAGGCAUAUUGUGAGAUAUGCUGGAGAUAUCAGAAGUGAGAAUGCUGACAUGAGUAACGAUAAUGCGGGUGAAAAACCCGCACGCCGAAAACCCAAGGGUUCCUGCGCAACGCUAAUCGACGCAGGGUUAGUCGGUACCUAAGGCGAGACCGAAAGGUGUAGUCGAUGGACAACAGGUUAAUAUUCCUGUACCGCGUAUACUGCGAUGGGGGGACGGAGAAGGCUAAGCUUACCGGGUGUUGGUUAUCCCGGGAAAAGUAUGUAGGUAGAGAACUUUGGAAAAUCCGGGUUCUUAUUACUGAGAUACGAGACCAUUGAUUUUUUAAUCAAGAAGUAGCUGAUGCCAUGCUUCCAAGAAAAGCCUCUAAGCUUCAGGUAUUACGUGACCGUACCCCAAACCGACACAGGUGGGUGGGAUGAGAAUUCUAAGGCGCUUGAGAAAACUCUGGUGAAGGAACUAGGCAAAUUGGUACCGUAACUUCGGAAGAAGGUACGCCUUUGUUGGUGAUUGAAUUUACUUCAUAAGCUGAUGGAGGUCUCAGAAACCAGGUGGCUGCGACUGUUUACUAAAAACACAGCACUCUGCUAACUCGUAAGAGGAUGUAUAGGGUGUGACGCCUGCCCGGUGCCGGAAGGUUAAUUGAUCGAGUUAGCCCUUUUUGGGCGAAGCUCUUGAUCGAAGCCCCGGUGAACGGCGGCCGUAACUAUAACGGUCCUAAGGUAGCGAAAUUCCUUGUCGGGUAAGUUCCGACCUGCACGAAUGGCGUAACGAUGGCCACACUGUCUCCACCAGAG
Molecule: ribosomal RNA, 1604 nt
Filed under: marine metagenome
Description: bacterial LSU rRNA
Rfam family: Bacterial large subunit ribosomal RNA
Source: RNAcentral